RNAcentral lists this ribosomal RNA (253 nucleotides) under uncultured bacterium. RNAcentral describes it as "partial 16S ribosomal RNA". It matches the Rfam family "Bacterial small subunit ribosomal RNA", at positions 524 to 776 of the family's 1533-position model. The record is from RNAcentral.
GACGAACCGUCCGAACGUUAUUCGGAAUCACUGGGCUUAAAGGGUGCGUAGGCGGCGCGGAAAGUUGGGUGUGAAAUCCCUCGGCUUAACCGAGGAACUGCGCCCAAAACUACCGUGCUCGAGGGAGAUAGAGGUGAGCGGAACUUAGGGUGGAGCGGUGAAAUGCGUUGAUAUCCUAAGGAACGCCGGUGGCGAAAGCGGCUCACUGGAUCUCUUCUGACGCUGAGGCACGAAAGCUAGGGUAGCGAACGGG